RNAcentral lists this long non-coding RNA (744 nucleotides) under Marmota monax (woodchuck). The record is from RNAcentral. Lineage: Eukaryota; Metazoa; Chordata; Mammalia; Rodentia; Sciuridae.
GGGGAGUGGACGGCUGGCCACCGGCUGCCCAGCGCCGGUUGGGAGUCUGCGGCCUCCGUGUUUCUAACAGCCAAGGCGCUGCCUUUGGCACCUGAACGCGGGGCGAGGGUCUGCUCGUGCGGAACUCCCACUCCCCACUCUGAGCGUCGCGGGGCUCCUGCGGGCUCCAUGGCAGCUGUCGGCAGGAAUGAGCUCCCCACCGAGACGGGUCCGGGCAGCGUGGCCCUCCCCUGUGCUCAGCGCCACCUCCAGACACCGCCGAGGCGCCACGGGGAGCUCCACCUGUCCUGGGCCAGGCCAGGAGGGUGCCGGCAGGUCUCUGCCUGGGAGCCCGGGACAGGCCCGGACGGGAGCCGAGGGCCCGCCUCCCCCGUGCCUGCCUCCUGCGCUGCGGUUCAGAUCCGCUCUCUGUCCUGCGGCCAGAUGGUGCGGUCUUGGGGGGUCCCCACACCUGCGCUCAGGACCCCGAGCCCCUGGAGUCCCCUGGAGCAACAUCCAUCCAUCCGUCGCCAGGCCCCGGGUAGGCGUGGGCUGGGGCAGGAGCAGCCAGGCCUGGGGUCUGACAGCGAUUUUCCGUGUUCCAGCCCCUAACCCUGCCCAGCCUCCCGCAGGCCCGCAGCACCUGGCUCAGCCCCGCGGGGCACGGAGGCUGAGGACCUGCUGCACAGGGAUCGUGCUCCCAGGUUGGCUGCCACAGCCAGCCCUGCCUUGAUCCUGGGAGGAGCCCUGAGCCCCAACUAAGCA